CCUCAAUGAGCCAGUGACACCAGGGACGGGAGCAGAUCAGUGGCCAGCCAGACAGCGAGAGGAGCCGGCAGCGCACGGGAGGAAGGAGCCCUUGCUGUGCAACCAGUUUCAUCUCCACCUGCCCUUCCUCAGGCAGAGAGCCGACCCACACACCGAUGAAGACAUUGAAGUUCAAAGAGAUCAAGUAACAUAGCCAGGAUCACAGAGCGAGUCAGCGGUGAAGCUACAAAUAGCCAGGUAGGCUAUUUCCAGAGGACAAGCUCUCAGCCACUGUGCUAGCAUCGCGCCCACACAAGCACAAUUGCUCACCC
Long non-coding RNA from Orcinus orca (killer whale), 311 nucleotides. RefSeq lists it as uncharacterized. The record is from RefSeq and is a predicted model, not a curated record. The transcript has 3 exons. NCBI's taxonomy places the organism in Eukaryota, Metazoa, Chordata, Mammalia, Artiodactyla, Delphinidae.